RNAcentral lists this long non-coding RNA (2766 nucleotides) under Eucalyptus grandis. RNAcentral's name for it is "long non-coding RNA (EGRA_LNC001762)". The record is from RNAcentral. Lineage: Eukaryota; Viridiplantae; Streptophyta; Magnoliopsida; Myrtales; Myrtaceae.
CGGGUCAAAUCCCAGAUGCAAUUGGCAGACUAUCCCGCUUGAGAAUCUUGGACUUCUCUGGUACUUGUAUUUCUAGUUUGCCUGCCACGAUCGCUCAUCUCUCUCACCUGAAAGAGUUACGUCUCCAAGGUUGUGUGCUUCCUCCAGGUAAAAUCCCAAAUGCAAUUGGCGGACUAUCCCGCUUGAGUACCCUGGACUUCUCUGGUACUUGUAUUUCUAGUUAGCUUGUCAUGAUCACUCAUCUCUCUCACCUAGAAGAGUUAUGUGUCAAAGGUUGUCAGCAUCUUACGUGAUAUGUCCAGAAUGACACAAGUGCAGAAGAUGAUCCAAAACGUUACAAGUUUAGGAUGAAGCAGGUUCAUAAUGUAGUAGGUCCAGAACGUAGUAGAUUCAGAACGAAGCAAGUUCAUAACGAAACAACUUGAUAGAACAUGACAUAAACCCAAACAUAUAAUAGCUAGCGAUCUGAUUUGGAUUUUACAUUAAGAUAUAUUUGAUUGACUCAAUCUAAUUGAUUGACAAUUGGAUCUUGAAGACGAAAACUUUCUAAAUGAAUAAGCCAUACUUAUGGAAACUAAGAUUUCAUUUAUAUGGGCAAUCAGAAUCAACUUGAAAUUUUACUUUUGUCACUUAAUGGUUACCUAAUCUUCUUAAUACAGAUCUAUCCAAUGAAUAGAUUGGAAGAUGAUCCUCUAGAUACUAUUUAACGGCUAGUUUAAAAGUGGAGGAGUAUUUAAGGAGAUUAAGGAUCGAUGAGUAUGUAAGAGACGGAGUGUAGAAUCUAGAAUUCUAAAGUUUGAGUGAACUUCGAUCAUACACUUGUCUUUCAUGAGCUUAAACGUUUUUGAUCAUAAGAGAAAUACCAAAAUAGUGACUUAGUAAGAUAGUGUGAUCUAUCAUUGAGUGUUUGCACUCAAAGUUGUAAUAUCUUAUUAAUCAUAUAGUGGAAUCCAGCCAAUAGGUUGUUAGCGAGGGAGAGUGGACGUAGGCAUGAUCUAAGCCGAACCAUUAUAAAUUCUGUGUGCAUUCUUCUCUUUUGUUAACUCUCAUUAUUUAAGUCUAUUACACGCUUACAGGUUAUUUCAGAAGUUUGUUCCAUCACAUAACAUAUUUUGAAUAUUUACUAGAAGUCUGGUAACUCGUUUAUCAGACUUUGAUGCUUAUUUAGACUUUUUUCGCAACUUAUUCUAUUUCGCAUUUAUUUGUUAGGAUUUCUUUUAACUACAUAUUCACCCCUCUAAGAGUUCGUACUAGUUCAGGAUUUACUUCAAAUCUCCCUUCCAUUCACAUGAUUUACCUCAAUAUCCUCUAUUAACACUGCAUUAGCGCACUUGGGAUUCAGUGGGGUAGCCCGUCCGCGUGUCCUUGCAAUAAGACCAUUACAUUUUGCUUUCAGACCAUAUAGUAACGAUCCUCCUUGCCCGUCCUUGUUUCUGUGAUCGGUUUUUGCGGAUCCAAUUACAAGAUUGUCGGCAGAACAUUCAUAAAAUGUGGGCUCGUGAUUAUAAUUCUAGUGAGUGAUGGGUAAAAGGCCGUUCUUCUGCUUCUGGAGCUUUGCAUCAUUUCCUUAAGCAAUGAGAGUUAUCAGCGCGUCCCAUUUGUCUUUCAGUUCUUGCAUCGUCGGCCAACAUGUACAUAACUCUGCCCGCUUUCCUUUUCUAGUUCCACUCCAAGCUCAUCUUUAUAAUUUGAAUAUCUAGUGAUUUUUUGUCGAAAUGGCGGCAUGUGCACGAUUUUUUAUGCAAAUGGCCACUUUAUUUAUAUUCUCAACAACAAAGAUAUCGUGUAUUUUUUCCCUUUUUGUGCAUAGAGUUAAAGAUCUUCAAAUUGCAGUUUGUUUGAGAUAUCAAAUCAACAAUGAGAAUGUCAUUUUGAUAUCCUUUUUAAUUCUGUUAGUCAGACUAAAAUUAACCACCUUUCACUGUGCAUUUUCGCAGCCUCAGAAAAAGUUCAUAAGGUUAUUACCGAGGCUAUCGAGACCGCGGUAUUUAUAGACAAGGAAGCACUGACACGUUUAGAGGGCCUCUGUAUCGUGUCGGACACCCUGACACGUGUCCCACCGGCUUGGAUACCGUCAAAGACGCUUGAACAGGAGAUCAACAGGUAUCGGAGUUUCCGACACUCGCGUCGGAGUGUGUCCGGAGGUUUGUGGGCAGAUCCGCAGGUGCGAAGGGAAGAAAGUGAUGGAGGGUGGAGGCUAGGGUGAGGGAGCUGAGGCGACGCCGUGAGCGACGACGAGGCAGGGCUCCGACUGUCAACUGCAACACUAAGAAGCCUUCUCGAUCAUCUUGGUUGGCUGCAACCGCCGAUUGCAACGCCGAGAUGGAAACGGAAAGGCCGUGAUGGAGGGCUGGAUGCGAGCUACGACGGCAAAGGGGGGAACGGAAGCGAGGCAGCGGUGAGUGGGGUGGAGACCAAGCGAGGGAGAGGAGAAAGAAGGCGAUCGCCGAUUGCUAAGGUUUUCAAUUUUUGGAAGAAGAGCAAGGAGAGAGAGGAUGUGUCGACGGCUUCUUGGGAAAAAAGAAAGCGUUGUGCAGUGUGCCUUUGGGAAGAGAUGUGUGCAGGCGGUGGGUGGGGUGGGGGAAAUAAAUGGAUGGGACCAUUUAACCCUAAAAAGAAAUAUUAAACAUUAAAUAAUUUUUUUUUUUGGCAAAAUCUGUAAAAAUUCACUCUUUCUUUUCAAGACAAUGAGAGAAACAGAUCGAGAGCCUUUGCGUACGUUGAAUAACUUUAUGAAUACAUGUUAUUAGUAUAGAUUUAUUAUAG